GAUGAACGCUGGCGGCGUGCCUAAUACAUGCAAGUCGAGCGAACAGAUGAGGAGCUUGCUCCUCUGACGUUAGCGGCGGACGGGUGAGUAACACGUGGAUAACCUACCUAUAAGACUGGGAUAACUUCGGGAAACCGGAGCUAAUACCGGAUAAUAUAUUGAACCGCAUGGUUCAAUAGUGAAAGACGGUUUUGCUGUCACUUAUAGAUGGAUCCGCGCCGCAUUAGCUAGUUGGUAAGGUAACGGCUUACCAAGGCGACGAUGCGUAGCCGACCUGAGAGGGUGAUCGGCCACACUGGAACUGAGACACGGUCCAGACUCCUACGGGAGGCAGCAGUAGGGAAUCUUCCGCAAUGGGCGAAAGCCUGACGGAGCAACGCCGCGUGAGUGAUGAAGGUCUUCGGAUCGUAAAACUCUGUUAUUAGGGAGGAACAAAUGUGUAAGUAACUAUGCACGUCUUGACGGUACCUAAUCAGAAAGCCACGGCUAACUACGUG
RNAcentral lists this ribosomal RNA (497 nucleotides) under uncultured bacterium. Its description in RNAcentral is "partial 16S ribosomal RNA". It matches the Rfam family "Bacterial small subunit ribosomal RNA", at positions 28 to 507 of the family's 1533-position model. The record is from RNAcentral.